RNAcentral lists this ribosomal RNA (513 nucleotides) under Azemiops kharini. RNAcentral's name for it is "partial 16S ribosomal RNA". It matches the Rfam family "Bacterial large subunit ribosomal RNA", at positions 1811 to 2604 of the family's 2925-position model. Lineage: Eukaryota; Metazoa; Chordata; Lepidosauria; Squamata; Viperidae. The record is from RNAcentral.
AAACAUAACCUUUAGCCAAACAAGUAUUAAAGGCAACGCCUGCCCAGUGAAUAAUUAAACGGCCGCGGUAUCCUAACCGUGCAAAGGUAGCAUAAUCAUUUGUCUAUUAAUUGUAGACCCGUAUGAAAGGCAAAAUGAGGGUUCAACUGUCUCUUAUAAUACAUCAAUUAAACUGAUCUUCUAGUACAAAAGCUAGAAUACUAACAUAAGACCAGAAGACCCUGUGAAGCUUUAACUAAACUAUUAAACCACUUAAUAACUACUUUCGGUUGGGGCGACCUUGGAAUAAAAAAGAACUUCCAAAUAUCAACAUUACAUUAAAGGCAGACAAGCCCACAUAAGACCCAGCAUAGCUGACAAUUGAACCAAGUUACUCCAGGGAUAACAGCGCUAUCUUCUUCAAGAGCCCAUAUCAAAAAGAAGGUUUACGACCUCGAUGUUGGAUCAGGACAUCCUAGCAAUGCAACCGUUACUAAGGGUUCGUUUGUUCAACGAUUAAUAGUCCUACGUGAU